Drosophila suzukii is the source of this 865-nucleotide non-coding RNA. NCBI's taxonomy places the organism in Eukaryota, Metazoa, Arthropoda, Insecta, Diptera, Drosophilidae. The record is from RefSeq and is a predicted model, not a curated record.
UCCCAUUCGAUUUCUAACCCUCGGACCUUUCGUUUCGGCCAGCUUCUAAAUUUCUAAAAUUUCUAAAAUUUCAAAAUUCAAAAUUAUCUUUCGAAAAUAAUUUAGCCAAAAUAAACACUCGAGGGGCUCAACAUGUGUGACGGAUGUGGAUCGUUGGAGCCGCGUGGAUGCCGCAGUCGGGAGCUGCGCUGCGGCAUCAUGUACACCACCUGCGACUGCGUGAAGCGGAACGGGCUGCAGGACAAGUGUCCGCGGUCCGCCUGCCAGGGCAGACCCGCCUGCCUGUGCUUCCCGUUCCCCACCUGCGGUCCGGCGGCCUUUCCCCUGCGCUAUGCCAACAUGAUGAUGGGCGUGAACAACAAGAGGAUGCGCUGUGCGGCCACUGGAGCUCCGAACGGCGGUGCAUGUGGCGGACGAGCUGCCGGCGGAUGCUGUGGAUGCGGUCCCGGAUGUUGCUAAGCUUCAUGCCCACAAGGCUAACCCCCCAACAAGGAUAGCAAGUCCUGAGUCAGGAUCACCGCGAUGGCUGGCCUCCACCAAAUCACCCAGUUAUAGCCCCCAAUCCCUCCGCAUCCCGUCGCGUGUAAGUGGUUUCUAAGUAGUUCCUGGCAAGUGUUGCGAUCGGAUCCUGACGUGCCACUCCUUUGGCGGGGCAUGUUGUUGUGUGGCGCAGUUUCGGUUGAUAAUUGAAGGUGGCUUAAAUCAAGAUGAAUAUCGGUGGGGAAAUCCGAACCCUCGAACGGCAGAGAACAUGUGGAGCAUCAUUGUGAAAUUCGUUCAUCAGUCUUGAUUUAAGCGCAAAAUCAUUUGUAGGUAUUUGGACUCUUAUUUGGCAAUAAAUUAUACAAAAUUAUUUAAUUUACAA